AAAUUGAAGAGUUUGAUCAUGGCUCAGAUUGAACGCUGGCGGCAGGCCUAACACAUGCAAGUCGAGCGGUAGCACAGAGAGCUUGCUCUCGGGUGACGAGCGGCGGACGGGUGAGUAAUGUCUGGGAAACUGCCUGAUGGAGGGGGAUAACUACUGGAAACGGUAGCUAAUACCGCAUAACGUCGCAAGACCAAAGUGGGGGACCUUCGGGCCUCAUGCCAUCAGAUGUGCCCAGAUGGGAUUAGCUAGUAGGUGGGGUAACGGCUCACCUAGGCGACGAUCCCUAGCUGGUCUGAGAGGAUGACCAGCCACACUGGAACUGAGACACGGUCCAGACUCCUACGGGAGGCAGCAGUGGGGAAUAUUGCACAAUGGGCGCAAGCCUGAUGCAGCCAUGCCGCGUGUGUGAAGAAGGCCUUCGGGUUGUAAAGCACUUUCAGCGGGGAGGAAGGCGUUAAGGUUAAUAACCUCAUCCGAUUGACGUUACCCGCAGAAGAAGCACCGGCUAACUCCGUGCCAGCAGCCGCGGUAAUACGGAGGGUGCAAGCGUUAAUCGGAAUUACUGGGCGUAAAGCGCACGCAGGCGGUCUGUCAAGUCGGAUGUGAAAUCCCCGGGCUCAACCUGGGAACUGCAUUCGAAACUGGCAGGCUAGAGUCUUGUAGAGGGGGGUAGAAUUCCAGGUGUAGCGGUGAAAUGCGUAGAGAUCUGGAGGAAUACCGGUGGCGAAGGCGGCCCCCUGGACAAAGACUGACGCUCAGGUGCGAAAGCGUGGGGAGCAAACAGGAUUAGAUACCCUGGUAGUCCACGCCGUAAACGAUGUCGAUUUGGAGGUUGUGCCCUUGAGGCGUGGCUUCCGGAGCUAACGCGUUAAAUCGACCGCCUGGGGAGUACGGCCGCAAGGUUAAAACUCAAAUGAAUUGACGGGGGCCCGCACAAGCGGUGGAGCAUGUGGUUUAAUUCGAUGCAACGCGAAGAACCUUACCUGGUCUUGACAUCCACAGAACUUUCCAGAGAUGGAUUGGUGCCUUCGGGAACUGUGAGACAGGUGCUGCAUGGCUGUCGUCAGCUCGUGUUGUGAAAUGUUGGGUUAAGUCCCGCAACGAGCGCAACCCUUAUCCUUUGUUGCCAGCGGUCCGGCCGGGAACUCAAAGGAGACUGCCAGUGAUAAACUGGAGGAAGGUGGGGAUGACGUCAAGUCAUCAUGGCCCUUACGACCAGGGCUACACACGUGCUACAAUGGCAUAUACAAAGAGAAGCGACCUCGCGAGAGCAAGCGGACCUCAUAAAGUAUGUCGUAGUCCGGAUUGGAGUCUGCAACUCGACUCCAUGAAGUCGGAAUCGCUAGUAAUCGUAGAUCAGAAUGCUACGGUGAAUACGUUCCCGGGCCUUGUACACACCGCCCGUCACACCAUGGGAGUGGGUUGCAAAAGAAGUAGGUAGCUUAACCUUCGGGAGGGCGCUUACCACUUUGUGAUUCAUGACUGGGGUGAAGUCGUAACAAGGUAACCGUAGGGGAACCUGCGGUUGGAUCACCUCCUUACCUUAAAGAA
This 1551-nucleotide ribosomal RNA is filed under the name Klebsiella pneumoniae. RNAcentral describes it as "bacterial SSU rRNA". It matches the Rfam family "Bacterial small subunit ribosomal RNA". Lineage: Bacteria; Pseudomonadati; Pseudomonadota; Gammaproteobacteria; Enterobacterales; Enterobacteriaceae. The record is from RNAcentral.